CGGUGUGAAGCGCGCGGCAGCAGCGUCACUGUGGCACAGUCCAGGUGGGAGAGAGGCACUGAGCGGACGGAACGUUGGGCGGGGCCGCGCCUCAGGGCCGGUCUCUGGUUGCGAGGCCACGCGCUGGCGCUGGGGGCGCGCGGGAGCGCAGGGCCCGAGGAAUGUUGAACCCGUGGGACUCCCUGGUCCCGGUGCAGCUCCUGGACUGCAAGAACAGCCGUGCGAGGGUGGGACGACCUGUUUUCUCCGAAGGUUCUGCCCCUGGAGCUCUGCAGCGGCCGUCUGAGACAAAUCUAUCUGCCCACAUUUCAAAUGAUGAAAAAACUAACAAGCAAGUACAUGAAUUCCCAAGGUUUUCAGCAUGGCACGGGAGUCCUUGAGUGUAUGCAAGGCUGCAUCUGUGGUGUCUGCAAAGAGUUUCUGUCCCUCAAAAGAUGGAAAGGGAAGAAACAGGAACCCCGCAGGGAACAGGAAGGGGUAAUUUCAGGCUAAAAGGAAAGGAAAAAGUAUUCUGAGGAAGAUUAUUCUGAGGUGCUGCUGUUGUUCCGACAGAUGCCAACAGCAGCAAAGAAGGAACUGGGGGACGUGCGCGCAAUACCCA
Long non-coding RNA from Mauremys reevesii (Reeves's turtle), 601 nucleotides. RefSeq lists it as uncharacterized. Lineage: Eukaryota; Metazoa; Chordata; Testudines; Geoemydidae. The transcript has 3 exons. The record is from RefSeq and is a predicted model, not a curated record.